This is a non-coding RNA of Chlorocebus sabaeus (green monkey), 1392 nucleotides long. The record is from RefSeq and is a predicted model, not a curated record. Lineage: Eukaryota; Metazoa; Chordata; Mammalia; Primates; Cercopithecidae.
UGGAUUCACUGCACUCCAGCUUGGGCGAGAGAGAGAGACUCCAUCUCAAAACAAACAAACAAAAAAAUUAGUUUCAACAUGACUAAUUACCUCUGCAAAAGGUUAUAUUCACAGAUGUGUAAGAGGCUAGAUUCUGAUCUAUGGAGUGUAACAAUUGGUCACUUUUUAAUCAACUGAAAUUAAUUUGGUAGAAUGGAAAUGAAAUUCCACCACUAGUUUCCUUGCGAGGCUGACAGGUCAAGCUGGGGUCCAUAAGUCCCUGAAAUUGCAUGCAAAAUUUGGUGUCUGUUUCUUGGUAGAAUUUUUAAAGAGAUCCAUGACUCAAAGACCCACCAUCUAAAUGGCCUUCCUGUGGAGAUACUUGAGCACCUUAAGAGAGAAAUACAUGUUACACAAGCCAAGAAUAUCAAAUCUGCUUUGCUUCUCUAAGACAAUAUCAGAAAAAAAUGAAAUACCUUUUCUCUUCUUUUUAGAGUCAACAACAAUGGUUCCAUGAACUGAUGGAGAAAGCAAAUGCCUCUUAUUAGAGGCAACAACGAUAGUUCCAUGAACUGAUGGAGAAAAUGAAUUGAAUGACUCUGGGACCACAUUUUCCAGUGGCAUAGUCAUCAGAGGAAGGAGAGCCUACCCAGUGUGAUGUGAAUAAACAGAUGAGGUUCUACCUGGUUACUGCUUCAUGGUCCAGUUUCCUAAUGCAGGUUACGGAUUAUGCAAGUUUACAACAUCAUCUAACUUGGCACCAAUCUGGGUGAAUCCAGAGCAGUGGCCAAUUUGUGAUGAGCCACAUCCAGAAUGAAGUGGGGGAGCUCACAGCUGGACAUCUUAGCAAAUACCAAAUCCAGGUAUGUCAGUUGGGACAACUGGGGGAGGAGGUGUGGUGGGCUGUGCAGCCGGGGGAACCUUCACCAAAAUGACUAGAGAAAUGAGAAGAACAAUUAUAACUGACAGAUAGGAACAGCCUGCUCAGAUACGCUAAAAAUGAGUCAGGCCUUCAGGAUGACAACUUUGACAAGGAUUUUGGAGAUGAUAACAAAUGGAAAGAUUUAUGUAUCCAGUUCAACACAACUGUUCAUUAGAGUCCCCGAGGGUCUGAUGCAUUUAGCAAAUGACUAUUUUAUAUGCUUUUUAAAUUUUCAGAUGCUUCCAUAAAUUCAUAGUCUUGAAAGGAAGACAUUUCUUCAGAACUCUGUAAAUCUUAUGAGUCCUAAGGGAGUUGGUGGAGGUGGGAAUAGUUUGUAUUUGCUAAGCAUGACAAUAGUGUGGCAAAGAUUUUAAGACUGCUCCAGCUGCAAACAAACUUUGCCAAUUUCUUCCUUCAGAAUAAUGAAAAUAAUUUUUUUUUUUUGAGAUGGGCUCUUGUUCUGUCACCCAAACUGGAAUACAGUGGCACCA